AGUUUAUUAGUUGUUUUAUUAAUUUAGUUGACAUAUUAGUUGGUUUUGUAUUCGCCAACAUAUUUUAUUGGUCACUACUGCAAAUUAUAAUGUAUAAAAUUUUAUAUUUAUGCGUACAACAAAUUAUGAUUUUUUCUCUUGUAUAUUUUGAUAUCCAUAAUGUAUAUGUUUCUUGUAAAAUUUAUAAUAAAUAUGUAUAUAUAUAUUUAUGGAUGGUGCAGUCGUGGAUGAGAGAUAUGUGGACUUGUGGACGAAGUUUCGUGGACGAAAUCUCGUGGACAUGAUUUUUAAUCUUACAAGAGGUUUCGUAGACGAGAUUUCGUGGACGGAGUCUUGUGGAUGGUUUUAGUGGGUUAAGUUCAUCAUUUUCAUGAAAAGAUGAUCAAGCUUUUCUUUCAUAUAUAGUAAAUUCAUCAUCAAAAUGACAAUAACUAAUUUCAAAUGGACCAAAAAAUUGUAACUAAAGUUUUUUUAAAAGAGUUUCACGGAUUUGACUGUGUGAAUGAGGUUUGUGACCGAAGUUUCAUCAACAAAGUUUCCAAACGUAUCAACCUAUGUAUCCACUACCACCUUCGUAUCCAUAACCACCACAACCUCCACUCUGGUAUCCACAACCACAGCUUCCUCCACCGAACCACCACCAACUCCACCUUUCGAAUAACCACAUCCACCACCAUUGUAUCCACGAGUCUCUUGUAUCUACCCUCACGUUUUCCAUCUCCGUAACCACCUCCUCCUCCAUAACCACCACAGCCUCCACUGGAUCUAUCUUCUUUAUCAUCAAAGAGAUUGAAGUGACUAAUAACUCAGAAGUCUUAAGAACUACUUGCUGUGGCGGCUUCUACGGUGGCAGAAGCAGCGGCGAUGGCAUCCUCCAUGUUCUCACAAAACUUGAUUGAACCGGUUCUUUUCUUUGCUUGCUUGAUUCUUCAGCAUAUGUUAAACCAGAUUAGAUAAUCUGGAAACAAGAACUGAUGAUGAUGAUGAUUCCAGAAGAAGAAACAAACAUUCAUCAGAGCUAGAGUCGUGGUUUUCCUUUCCAACAUCGUCGCUUUCAGAUUGGUCUUCAAUUUCGGAUUCGUCUUUAGUAUCAGCAUCCACUUCCUCAUCAUCGGCUUUGCCCAUAAUCUCUGUGUAAUCAAAUUAUCCAACACGUUUUUGUUCAUAACAGAACCAUAUUCGAGUGUGAUUAUUAAUUGUAAAAUUUAGAAGAAAUUUAGAAUGUGAUUCAAGUGGGGUUAGGGAUUAGAAAGAUAAAACUGAGAAAGAGUUUUUGUUUUACAUUUAAAAUUCUGGGUUUUAACGAUGAUACAAAAAAAAAAAAAUAUAAUUUAAAAAAAAAAAACCAAAAAACAAAGAAAAAAGAGGUUUUGACUUAGUUUAAGGGCAAAAGAGACAUCGCAUACACUAAAAGUGUGUCUCUAGCAACAAGUGUUCUUUUGUGUAAUUGGAAACUGAAAAUGUGUCUCUAAAGGUAAUUUUUUCAGAUAUAUAUAUACAAUUGACUAAUCAUGUAAACCAAAUAAAAUCAUUGUGAGAUCUUGGGCCCGGUCCAAAAGGAAAUCCAUUUGUUCGAGGUGCAAAAGGAGAAAAAUAUAGUUAGUUCCCCUCCCAUUCCUUAUAAAAGAAAGAGUCCCCUUAGAUUAGAAUCACAAGAGACACAACAAGCGAAGCCCUGCCCGAGCAAAGCCCUGUCGUCGCCUCACCAUUGCCGACCAGCUACCUCCGACGCCCUAAGCCGCCGGCCGCCAUCACCGGAGUCUGAGCCGCCGAUCUUGUAACCCUAGUCGUCGUUUUUUCAUCAGCUGCGUGUAACCAGAUCAGAUCUCAGCCCUAAGGUAAGGUUCAUAUCUUCUUAUUCCAUCUUUCUCUUAUCAUUGGGUAUGCCAGAUCUGAUUUUCUGACCGCCUGUUCUUCCUUUCUAGAUCCAUAUCUGUACCGUCAAGUCAAACUAAGGUGAUGACCCGACCGUUAACUCUUCUCAUGUCAUGCAAGCCUUCAAGGACAGUCCCUUGUUAAAUAAAGUCUAGGUGUAGUUAGGAUCUAUUUGUAUAUGUUUAUUUGCUUGAUUAAACUGUUAGAUAUACUUGUUGACUUGUAGUGAUGUGAUAAAAACAUAUAGAUCUGUUAGGUUGAUAAAUGAUAAACUGGUUGUGUGAGAUGCGAUGAUGAGAUGCAUGUGGCGUGUGAAUGAAUGAGACCAUGUGAAUGGGUAACAGAGAAUGAUUGAUGUGUGUUUAUGUAACACCAAGACACGGGUGUGGUCAUAUGUGGAUAUGGAGAAAUGUGGAAUGUGGCGCCGACAUGAUCGAGUCAUGCCGAGCCUAGGCAUAAGUAACUAUGGGACUGGAGAACGGACCGUGCCUUACUGUUCCAAAGAGUUUGUGACCGGGUAGUCACAUAGGAGCUAUGGAUCGUAGCCCAGUUUGGGCCCCCAUAAGAAAUGCAACGAAGGGGGUACAUGAUGGCUCCCCCGGGGGUGUGGAAUAGGUCCUAGAGGUAUAGGUUGUUUGUGGCAUGCUAGUCUUUAUUAGCUUGUGACUGUGAUGAAUGUAUGCUUGUCCUGAUAUGAGUUUUUUGGUUCCUAGAACUUACCCUCGCUGAGUAAUCUCAAUACUCACCCCCUCUCUUUUGUAGGUACAAACGAGGAAGUCGAGGAGUAGGAGUUCGGUGGUGCCAUAUUUUGAGUUUAUGGUUUAUUUUUAAGUUAUUCAUGAAUUCAAACACUAUUUCUUCGCGUUUCUGGUUUUCGUUUAAGAUUACAUUAAUGUAAGAUAAUAGUUUUAAUGGAAUAAAGAAAGUUUUGGACUCAUUGGAAUGUGGUGGAGGAAUAAGUAUGAUCUUGGGGGACGCGGUCCUUACAAUCAUAGUACCAAUAAACUAAAUUAACUAAACAAGACUCUAUACAUUGACAUUUCCUCUCAAGAUGAAUGUGUGUAAAUAUUGAUAACACCCAUCUCGCUUAUGUUAUCCUGAAAUAGAGCUUGGUAUGAUAUCUUAGUCAAAACGUCAGCUAGUUGAUGAUCCGUACGCACAUACAUUGUUUUCAACGUGCUAAGUUCUAUAGCAUCUCUCACCUUAUGGCAAUCAAACUCCACAUGUUUGGUUCUUUCAUGAAAAACAGAGUUACUAGCAAUGUGGAGAGCUGCAGUGUUAUCGCACAAUAGAGGAAAUAUGGAGAAAAAAAAGGAACCCAUAGAGAUUUAAGAAUCCCAUUGAUCCAAAUAAUCUCUUCAGUAGCCAUACACAUAGCAAGAUAUUCAACUUCAUCAUAACACAAAGACACCAUAUCAUGUUUCUUUGAUUUCCAAGAGAUCAAAUAAUUAGGAGGAAACAUUGUGUAUCAUGUGACUGAUCUUCUAUAAUCCGGACAACCUCCCCAAUCAGAACCAGAAAAUCCUCGCAAGUCAAAAACAUCACCGACUCCAUAAAAAAACCUUAUCCUAUAGUACCCUUUAAGUACAUCAAGACUUUAUGAACAUCCUUCAGAUGAACAUCAUGAAGAGCCGAAGAAUAUUGAGCUAGCUUGGAGACAGCAAAAACGAUAUCUUGUCUAAUUAUAGUAAGAUACUGAAGCUUCCCAACUAAUCUGCGAUAUUGCUUCAUAUUUUUCAAUAGCAACUCCAUCAUCUUUAGACAGUUUCUAUAUAACUCUCUCUUAUGCGUAACAUGAUUACUAGCCCCUGAGUCUAUAAUUCAAGCUUUAAGAAACAACUCAGUUUCUUGAUAUACAUAAAAAGUCAGCAUAUCCCAGUAAGACUAAUUAUAAAGAGUCAGGAAAGUACAAGAUAUUUGAGAUAUAACGGGUCCAUAUUGAAGUUUAAGCUAUAUUUUUCACAGGACAUGGAGUAACAUUAGAGGAAUGAAGCUUGGAACUAAAGACCGCAAUCAUUUGCGGAGUUGUUCCUUAGACAUACUGCUGCUCAACUAUCAAAACCUUGAUCAUUAUGAUUUUGAGACAAUCAUGUUGUUGCAGCCUAGUUUUCAUUACCAAUCAUGUUACUCUUCAUAGCAUGGGAUGUACAGGUGGAUAGCCAUGAACUUUCUAGAAUUUAUCAAAUGUAUGUCCAAUGCGCAACCAAUGUGAGCAUUUUUGGUUUCUGAAAACCACAUCAUGUGCCAAUAAUACAAGAUUUUGAUUCUGAUCAGCGAACUGAGUUUGAUUCUGAAGUGUUUUAGGAUGAGGUUUCAUCACUGGAUGACCUCCUAUCCCUUUUUGACUCUCAUCUUAAUCAAACAUAUUGUAAAAAUCAGUCGAUCCCGGUCCAUGCUUCAUGUUUAGUAUCUGACCACAAAAAUUAAUGAAAUUAUCAUUCAAUCCCAUCAGAAGUUGGAUAAUACAACUUGUCUCUGCAUCUUCAAAAAAUUCUUCUAUAAUCACAAUCAUAUUUCUUCACUGUACUCGACUUUGUGUUGGGUAAUUUCUCCCACGUAAUAUUUUUCUUUGUAAAGUAUGUAGACCAGUCAAGAACCAAACUUUGUAAAUACCUAAAAAGUUCCUAAAUUUCUAGAAAUAAAACACCAAAAAAUUAUAUUUAAAAACGAUUUGUUCCGUUUUAUAGAAAAAAAUGAGCAAUAUAAGCCUUCAAAAACCAAAACUCUUACAGGAAUGGAGGAUUGACAGUUACCUGAACUGAAACUGAAUGCUGAGGACAAAUAGUACAUUUACAUUUCAAAUAGUGCGAAGAAAGCAUUAUAUUUUUACAAAUUAGUUAACUUCUUUUAGUGAGGUACAUAUAUGGUUUAUUGACGAAUUAAGAUAUAAGCAGUGUUUUCAUAACCGGUAUGGAUCCGCGGUCGAUGGCGUGUUGAAUGAUUAUAUACCGUCACCUUGGCAUGUGCUUUUGGUUUAUUAAAUAAAAACCGGAUUAUAGAGUUCUAUUUGAACUUUACCUUGACAUGUUUUAAAUUUGGACAUAUUAAACAUGUUGUGUCUAAAUAUGCUUCUUAUAUAAUUUUAUAUAUGAUAACCAAUAUACUUAAAUUAAACCAACCUGCACUUUGAUUUCUCUUCUAUGUAUGUUGUUUAUUGAUUCGAUAGUUUUUCAUAUAUUCCUUCGUUUCUUAAAUUUGGUUUUUAGUCAAAUCAUGUGGUCUGAAAUAGUUUUCGGGGGAUUAGUUACUGGUUUGGACGUCUGUUCUGAGGGACUCUCUUUUGAGUAUUUAUUUAUUGCAGUUUUGAGGGUGAGAGACUGAUUAAUAUUUUCUUCAACAGAUACUUUUCAAAUAUAAGUUCUCAUGGUAAGAGUAGGAGAAAUAGACAUGGGCAACACGCCAUCGCUCAUGUGAUGAUUCUUCUCAUGCUAUUUUUUAAAUUCUUUGUAGGCAUUAUGUGCAUCAAGAAACUAAAGACUCAGUCAGUGUCUGAGUAAAAUGAUUCCAGUUCAUUUGACGAUUCAAAAUCUCACGGCGACAGAAGUGAAUAACUAUUAAGUAAAUGGAGAUGAUUUUUGUUUCUGAUUUUCAUUGGUAUAACAUGGAGAAAGUGGGUUUAGGAGGAUUGCAGAGUUAAGUUCAUUCCUAUCAAUUGGUUCGAAAUCCUAACUAACUAAUUUUGAAAAUAACACUUAAGUGUAUUAAGAUUAUUUUAGAGAUUCAAACUAAAUUAUAUUUAAAAGUUUAUAAUUCAAACCAAUGUAUACACUUUUUAAUGUACAUCAAAUAUAUGAUAUUAAUUGAGAUCUUUAAACAAGGUUGGGGUACAACCAUUUAAAUUUACAUUAUAGAAAGUUAUGAACAAUAUAACAACUUUGAGAAUAUUUUUUUGAGAUAUACCGAUUUCUUAAACAUAUUUAAAAUAUAAAGGAGAAUUUAAGUUUCAUAUACCUGAAAAAGUCAAUAUUAGGUAGAUACCAUUCCACUAUUACAAACACUGUUACACUUUCAAUAACCCAAAGUUACCCCUACUACGCUACACACCUAUAUAUCUCAGCUAAGAUAGAUUUGUUGUCAGUUCUUGUCUAUCAUAUCCAUACUUCACAACGAAAGCCUUUGAACAUAUCCAUUCUACACACCUAAUUAUUAUUUUAGGCCUUGAUUCACCAAAAUUUCGUCGUGCAGAGAUCUCUAAACAUUUCUUCUUUUAAUCUUUCGAUUCAGCAGCACAACAAAGAAGAGGUAGACACCAUAAACGGUGGAACAAUACACUUCCAACGACGAAUCCCCCACCAAAUCCUUUUCUUCCUCACCACCACCGCCUCCGGUAACAGAAAUCCCAACUAUUCACAUCGUGUUCACCACCGUCUCCGGUAACAGAAAUCCCAACCAUUCACAUCGUGUUCACCACCACCGUCUCCGAAAACAUAAAUCUCACCUACUAACACGUAUUCGCUGUCACUUGACCAGAUUUGUUUCUCGUAUCCAUCAUGUUUAAUGCGUCUCAGAGGGUAGAAAAAAAACAGCAUUUUUAUCAAUAUUACAAUAUUUUUUCACUUAAAAGCUAAUUGUUAUUUUGGAUUUAUGUAAGAAAACAGGAUUACAAUCUUUUUUCUCAAAAGAAUCUGACAAGGUGUUAAGGUUGGGGUAAAGUACAUCAUAGGCGAUGAGUCUAUGUCAACGGCGGUAAAAACUGACUCUGAUUGGUAGAUGAUGAACUUUCGGACAACAUGGUUCAACUUGUGUGAAUGCCAUGUUUUCAAGAAAGUGAGGGCCAAAUGGCCAUCGAUUUGACCUUGCGGAAUGAGUAAAAACAGAAAGAAAAGGAAAGAGGGAGACAAUCAUAGUGAACUAAAUAUUAUUCUUACAUUCGAACAAUUAUGGUGUCAAGUAUUAUAAUUACUUUCACAUUUUA
This is a long non-coding RNA of Brassica napus (rape), 6790 nucleotides long. RefSeq lists it as uncharacterized. The record is from RefSeq and is a predicted model, not a curated record. The transcript is spliced from 2 exons. Lineage: Eukaryota; Viridiplantae; Streptophyta; Magnoliopsida; Brassicales; Brassicaceae.